This is a non-coding RNA of Triticum aestivum (bread wheat), 118 nucleotides long. The record is from Rfam. Lineage: Eukaryota; Viridiplantae; Streptophyta; Magnoliopsida; Poales; Poaceae.
AUAUUACUCACUCCGUCCGAAAAUACUUGUCAUCAAAAUGGAUAAAAUGAGAUGUAACGUACUUGUCAUCAAAAUGAAUAAAAUGAUGACAAGUAUUUUCGGACGGAGUGACUAUAGA